GGUUAAGCGACUAAGCGUACACGGUGGAUGCCCUGGCAGUCAGAGGCGAUGAAGGACGUGCUAAUCUGCGAAAAGCGUCGGUAAGGUGAUAUGAACCGUUAUAACCGGCGAUGUCCGAAUGGGGAAACCCAGUGCAAUUCGUUGCACUAUCGUUAACUGAAUACAUAGGUUAACGAGGCGAACCGGGGGAACUGAAACAUCUAAGUACCCCGAGGAAAAGAAAUCAACCGAGAUUCCCCCAGUAGCGGCGAGCGAACGGGGAGCAGCCCAGAGUCUGAAUCAGCUUGUGUGUUAGUGGAACGGUCUGGAAAGUCCGACGGUACAGGGUGAUAGUCCCGUACACCAAAAUGCACAGGCUGUGAACUCGAAGAGUAGGGCGGGACACGUGGUAUCCUGUCUGAAUAUGGGGGGACCAUCCUCCAAGGCUAAAUACUCCUGACUGACCGAUAGUGAACCAGUACCGUGAGGGAAAGGCGAAAAGAACCCCGGCGAGGGGAGUGAAAAAGAACCUGAAACCGUGUACGUACAAGCAGUGGGAGCACCUUCGGGUGUGACUGCGUACCUUUUGUAUAAUGGGUCAGCGACUUAUAUUCUGUAGCAAGGUUAACCGUAUAGGGGAGCCGCAGGGAAACCGAGUCUUAACUGGGCGUUAAGUUGCAGGGUAUAGACCCGAAACCCGGUGAUCUAGCCAUGGGCAGGUUGAAGGUUGGGUAACACUAACUGGAGGACCGAACCGACUAAUGUUGAAAAAUUAGCGGAUGACUUGUGGCUGGGGGUGAAAGGCCAAUCAAACCGGGAGAUAGCUGGUUCUCCCCGAAAGCUAUUUAGGUAGCGCCUCGUGAAUUCAUCUUCGGGGGUAGAGCACUGUUUCGGCUAGGGGGUCAUCCCGACUUACCAACCCGAUGCAAACUACGAAUACCGAAGAAUGUUAUCACGGGAGACACACGGCGGGUGCUAACGUCCGUCGUGAAGAGGGAAACAACCCAGACCGCCAGCUAAGGUCCCAAAGUCAUGGUUAAGUGGGAAACGAUGUGGGAAGGCACAGACAGCCAGGAUGUUGGCUUAGAAGCAGCCAUCAUUUAAAGAAAGCGUAAUAGCUCACUGGUCGAGUCGGCCUGCGCGGAAGAUGUAACGGGGCUAAACCAUGCACCGAAGCUGCGGCAGCGACACUAUGUGUUGUUGGGUAGGGGAGCGUUCUGUAAGCCUGCGAAGGUGUGCUGUGAGGCAUGCUGGAGGUAUCAGAAGUGCGAAUGCUGACAUAAGUAACGAUAAAGCGGGUGAAAAGCCCGCUCGCCGGAAGACCAAGGGUUCCUGUCCAACGUUAAUCGGGGCAGGGUGAGUCGACCCCUAAGGCGAGGCCGAAAGGCGUAGUCGAUGGGAAACAGGUUAAUAUUCCUGUACUUGGUGUUACUGCGAAGGGGGACGGAGAAGGCUAUGUUAGCCGGGCGACGGUUGUCCCGGUUUAAGCAUGUAGGCUGGUUAUCCAGGCAAAUCCGGAUAAUCAAGGCUGAGGUGUGAUGACGAGGCACUACGGUGCUGAAGUAACAAAUGCCCUGCUUCCAGGAAAAGCCUCUAAGCAUCAGGUAACAUCAAAUCGUACCCCAAACCGACACAGGUGGUCAGGUAGAGAAUACCAAGGCGCUUGAGAGAACUCGGGUGAAGGAACUAGGCAAAAUGGUGCCGUAACUUCGGGAGAAGGCACGCUGGUGUGUAGGUGAAGUCCCUGCGGAUGGAGCUGAGACCAGUCGAAGAUACCAGCUGGCUGCAACUGUUUAUUAAAAACACAGCACUGUGCAAACACGAAAGUGGACGUAUACGGUGUGACGCCUGCCCGGUGCCGGAAGGUUAAUUGAUGGGGUUAUCCGUAAGGAGAAGCUCUUGAUCGAAGCCCCGGUAAACGGCGGCCGUAACUAUAACGGUCCUAAGGUAGCGAAAUUCCUUGUCGGGUAAGUUCCGACCUGCACGAAUGGCGUAAUGAUGGCCAGGCUGUCUCCACCCGAGACUCAGUGAAAUUGAACUCGCUGUGAAGAUGCAGUGUACCCGCGGCAAGACGGAAAGACCCGCUGAACCUUUACUAUAGCUUGACACUGAACAUUGAGCCUUGAUGUGUAGGAUAGGUGGGAGGCUUUGAAGCGUGGACGCCAGUCUGCGUGGAGCCAACCUUGAAAUACCACCCUUUAAUGUUUGAUGUUCUAACGUUGGCCCCUGACCGGGGUUGCGGACAGUGUCUGGUGGGUAGUUUGACUGGGGCGGUCUCCUCCCAAAGCGUAACGGAGGAGCACGAAGGUUAGCUAAUCCUGGUCGGACAUCAGGAGGUUAGUGCAAUGGCAUAAGCUAGCUUGACUGCGAGCGUGACGGCGCGAGCAGGUGCGAAAGCAGGUCAUAGUGAUCCGGUGGUUCUGAAUGGAAGGGCCAUCGCUCAACGGAUAAAAGGUACUCCGGGGAUAACAGGCUGAUACCGCCCAAGAGUUCAUAUCGACGGCGGUGUUUGGCACCUCGAUGUCGGCUCAUCACAUCCUGGGGCUGAAGUAGGUCCCAAGGGUAUGGCUGUUCGCCAUUUAAAGUGGUACGCGAGCUGGGUUUAGAACGUCGUGAGACAGUUCGGUCCCUAUCUGCCGUGGGCGCUGGAGAAUUGAGGGGGGCUGCUCCUGGUACGAGAGGACCGGAGUGGACGCAUCACUGGUGUUCGGGUUGUCAUGCCAAUGGCACUGCCCGGUAGCUAAAUGCGGAAGAGAUAAGUGCUGAAAGCAUCUAAGCACGAAACUUGCCCCGAGAUGAGUUCUCCCUGAGACUUUAAGUCUCCUGAAGGAACGUUGAAGACGACGACGUUGAUAGGCCGGGUGUGUAAGCGCAGCGAUGCGUUGAGCUAACCGGUACUAAUGAACCGUGAGGCUUAACCUU
This 2901-nucleotide ribosomal RNA is filed under the name Klebsiella pneumoniae. RNAcentral describes it as "23S ribosomal RNA". It matches the Rfam family "Bacterial large subunit ribosomal RNA". The record is from RNAcentral. Lineage: Bacteria; Pseudomonadati; Pseudomonadota; Gammaproteobacteria; Enterobacterales; Enterobacteriaceae.